CGGGAGGGGGCUUAUGCAGGACGCACUCCGAGAAAGAAAGGGAAAAAAAAUUUCAGGUGAUAGACGAUGCGAGGACGGCAGAAGAGCAGAUACCCCUUACGCGAGGACUCGCAAGGAAAAAAGUCACAGAAACGUCUCGAAAAUGCACGGCAGCCCCAGCUCCGCCACAACGACCCACGGCUGAAAUCCGAUUAGGGUCGAAGCAGCGCGAGACCCUCCCGUGCUCCAAAAGAGAUGGUCGGACCGAGCGUUUGCGUCCUCACUUCUCACUUCUCGAACGACUCAAACGCACCAUUUUCCUCCAGUGCGCUGCCUGCAUAUUGUUCUAAUUCAAAGCUUAAAACCACCCUGUUUCAAACCCAGUUUCGUGGAUUUACAGCGUAAUCCUUUCUACAAUUUCCGAAUAAUCCUAUUUGCAUUUUGUUCACUAGUAAGCAGGCGGCAGGGGAAUGCCAGCAGAAGUUUUAAGAGAGAGAGGAAAGGAAAAUGAAGUUAAAAAAAUAAAAUAAAAAAAAAAGGAUAGAAAAGGACUUUCGAGAGCAGCGAUGAAACGUUGACAAAUAUUUUUUUUUCCCCUGUAAAAACUGAUAAUGCUACUCGAGAAGUGAAAUGACGUUCUGAGUUAAUUUUGAGGUCCCAGGACAAAUUACUGUAAGGAAUGCAGACAGAAAACUUUUCUCUUUAAAUGGUUUUUUUUUUUUUUUUCCUUCCCCCUCCUUCUUUCUGUUUCCCGUAUCCCUGCUCCUCUUCUGGUACUUGAUGUGUUCAGUCCAGGUGGAAGGAAUGAAAGAAAGGAGAAAAAAAAAGAGAGGAGAACAGGGGGAAAAAAAAAAGAGAGAGAUAGAGGAAGAGAGAAAGAGAAGAAGACAGAAAGAGAAGAAGAGAAAUAGAGAGAAAGAAGGAAAAAAAAAGAGGGGAAGGAAGAGGAAGAAAGGAAGAUAAAGAAAGAAAGAAGGAAAGAAGGAAAGAAACCCCCGGAGGACCGCUGUGGCACCGACGCGGAGCAGGAUGCCCGUCCCUGCCCGCAAUGUGCCGCCAGGAGAGUGAUGCGGACAUCUCCGGCCGCACCGAUCCCCAUCGCACCCCGACCCCGCAGUGCCGGGGGGGCUCUGGCUUUUUCCGGACCGCCCUCGGGGCGCUGGGGACCCCUAUCAGGCUGGGACAACGCUGUCAGCCCUUUCCCGUCUCCAGCGGUUGUCCGAGGGGCCGGCUGUCCGGAUGGCAGCAGGCUCAGCCCUCGGGCGGACGCUUGAGGUCUGGCAGUCCCCGCGUGUCUCUAUUAGCCACGGUUUCUCCUCGUCCUGUCGCUUCUCUCCCACUUGCUUCCCUCCCAGCCUGGCAGAUGCUGUUUAAAACGGAAAGAACGGACGGAAGGGAAGGCGAGCGGCGGCGGCACGUCGGGGCAAGACGGCAGAAACCAUUCCCCACAGCGCUUGCCCG
This is a long non-coding RNA of Gallus gallus (chicken), 1440 nucleotides long. NCBI's taxonomy places the organism in Eukaryota, Metazoa, Chordata, Aves, Galliformes, Phasianidae. The record is from Ensembl.